RNAcentral lists this ribosomal RNA (492 nucleotides) under uncultured bacterium. RNAcentral's name for it is "partial 16S ribosomal RNA". It matches the Rfam family "Bacterial small subunit ribosomal RNA", at positions 29 to 507 of the family's 1533-position model. The record is from RNAcentral.
AGUGAACGCUGGCGGUAGGCCUAACACAUGCAAGUCGAACGGCAGCACAGUAAGAGCUUGCUCUUACGGGUGGCGAGUGGCGGACGGGUGAGGAAUACAUCGGAAUCUACUUUUUCGUGGGGGAUAACGUAGGGAAACUUACGCUAAUACCGCAUACGACCUACGGGUGAAAGCAGGGGAUCUUCGGACCUUGCGCGAUUGAAUGAGCCGAUGUCGGAUUAGCUAGUUGGCGGGGUAAGGGCCCACCAAGGCGACGAUCCGUAGCUGGUCUGAGAGGAUGAUCAGCCACACUGGAACUGAGACACGGUCCAGACUCCUACGGGAGGCAGCAGUGGGGAAUAUUGGACAAUGGGCGCAAGCCUGAUCCAGCCAUACCGCGUGGGUGAAGAAGGCCUUCGGGUUGUAAAGCCCUUUUGUUGGGAAAGAAAAGCAGCAGGUUAAUACCCCACUGUUCUGACGGUACCCAAAGAAUAAGCACCGGCUAACUUCGUG